RNAcentral lists this long non-coding RNA (458 nucleotides) under Homo sapiens (human). RNAcentral's name for it is "MAP4K3 divergent transcript". Lineage: Eukaryota; Metazoa; Chordata; Mammalia; Primates; Hominidae. The record is from RNAcentral.
AGAUAAAGAAUGAAAAGAGAAUACACAACCUUGUGAUUGCUAGCAGUGAAAGCUCAGAGUUAUGACAUAACAAUUGGUUGGAAAGAACCCAAGGGGACAUGGGCACAGCAUCCCUUCCUGGGCCUCUUCCUCAGGUGGUGCGGGUGGGAAAUCAGGAAGCUCCCAGACAUGGAGCAACUCAGGUGAUCAUGGAACAGAGAGAAGAGGGGCUUGAGCAGAGAGAAUGCUUAGAGGCUAAGCGAUGGGCAAGUGAGAGGGAAAGAGCCGCGACAGAUAGAGCUGGCUGCCUAGGGGUCUCAGAGGCUUCAUCCUGCAGGCGGCAGGCGGCAGGACAAAGGGACCUUCGGACUCCAGAUCAAGAUUCCAAGGAGUUAAACGCUACCACGCAGCCCGACCUGGAUGGGAUUUGCUCCUGGGUACAAAACGGGACACUGAUCAAAAUCAACUUGGACAAGUGA